GAUAGUCUAUCAAUAAAAAUUGAUUAUGCAUUUUAUAAGUGAGUAAAUACAUUUGUUCAGAACCUUCUUUUACAAUUGAUAAUAGACAACAAUAGCCAUUAAUGAAAGAUAAAUUGUAUUGAUACAACUAUAAGGUGAAAAUGAUGGCGACAACAUCAAUGGUAAGGCAUAUCAUUGCUUGAUCACCGAGCUAUAGUCAUGUAUUUUUGGUCUGGCUUUGCCAUCUUCUUGAACGUGCAUCCAGCAUAGGUCUAGUACUCGUUGCUCAAUAAAUGAACUUUCAAGAGCUUGUGGGAAGAGAAAUUGCAUCUACAUUGUACGGAUAAGGACCUUUAAUGUCUUAUGUCUGUACACACAACAUAAGCUUCACAUUUCCUCAACUUGCAGACCAGAAAAAAUUAAGAACAUGCCUGGAUUUAAAAUAGAGAAAGAUAAGCAUAGUAAAUGGUCUAGAAUCAUAAUGUAGGCAAAUUGAUCAUAUACCAAGCAAUCAUAUAUCAGCUAUUUCUACAAAUUAUAGAUUACAAUUCAACCAAUAUGGUUAGACGUUCAGUAUAAGGCUCAAUACUUGUAGUGGCAUAUUUCCACUUAAACCAAUCUAUAUGAUUCAUAUAAUUUUCCUACCGGUUACAAAACAUAUAAUUCAUGAAUAUGGCUAAAAUUUGUCCUUGAAGCAUAUUUUCAUAAACUGAGCUUCAUGUACUUACCUUUAUCACUAGUAAGCUUCAGAUGGUAAUGCUAUGCCUGACCAGAUAAGAUCAUAGUUCAUUG
RNAcentral lists this long non-coding RNA (771 nucleotides) under Fragaria vesca (wild strawberry). RNAcentral's name for it is "long non-coding RNA (FVES_LNC000273)". The record is from RNAcentral. Lineage: Eukaryota; Viridiplantae; Streptophyta; Magnoliopsida; Rosales; Rosaceae.